CAGGUACUUCCCGGAGUCGGGGACAGGAAUGUCUGCCGCCUCAAGCUGCUGUCUCUUUUUAGCAGAAACACCACAACUGACGCGUUUGUUUUUAAAGCGAAUGAGGAAAUGAUAGUUCUGCCUCUGCCGCCUUCGCGCGAGGCCCACCCUUCAGUGGAAUAGGGGCAGGUGCCAAUUCUGCGACCCCGUGACCCAGGGAAGGUAACGGUUGAGAUAAGUCAGGGAGGCGCGCCAGCCCCCAGCCUGGUGGAGAGGAGGAGGUGACCCACCACCUUGACCUUAAGGGUCACAGGGCUAGAAAUGGGGGCGGGGGCAGAGCAGGGCGGGAGGCAGGCGCGGAGGCGGGCCCAGGAGCGUCCCCUCCCCCUGGUUCUGUACCGCCCCCUGGUGGAGAGCGGGGACCCUGCCACCCUCCGGCUGCCUCUGAGACAACCUCCACCAGCCGUCUCCUUCACGCGGGCCACUAGGCCUCCUCCUGCUCCGCAGAGAAGCUGCUGGUGGCUUCCAGAGGAGAGGGUGAUAGGGGAGUAAGCAGAGAGCCCAGGACGCAGAGGCCGCCCGGAGAGCCUCCUGCCGAGGCCAGAAGGGAAGCCUAGGACUCAGCAAGCGUCUUCACUCACAAAAGCUCUUUCGAGGCCUCAACAUUUGGUGUCAUCAGUCAUUUUGUGGAUGAGUAAAUAGCGGGCCCAGAAUGAUGCCGCGAUCGGUAAAGGGGCCACAAGGGGCUGGUCUGAGACCCAAGCCCACGUCUCUCCCUCUCUCCUGCGCUUCCAGAAGUGUCUGUGCCUCCAGGUCCCUCUCCUGUGCUCACUGGCACCCCUGCACGAGCCUGCUUCCCCGAGGCCCUGGCAGGGCUCCCUCCUGCCCCCCGCGCGAUGUCCCCAGUGGCUCACCCAGCAGGGCCAAGCAGAGCAGCUGAAGGAGCCUCAUGCCUCUGCUGGCAGAGGACCCUCUGCUCAGGCUCACGAGAGCUCCCUCAACAGGGCCACCUCCACUCUGGGGCCCCUAGGAGGCUCCCAGGGUGGGUUCCUGCAGCAAGGAGAUAACCCGGAGGCCACAGCACCCCAUGGGCUCAGCAACCAGGGCUGGGCCCAGAACAGCUAGGCCCCCGCACCGCCCCCCCCCCCCCCCCCCGGGGAAUUAGUAGGCCCCUGGGCCUUGGAACUAAACCAGGGCUUACACUCAACUGCCACUGCUGGGCUGUAGGGGCCUGGGCCUGUUUGGUAGGUAGAUGUUGGCGUCGUAAACCCUGGAAUAUGUAUGUUACUGGCAGAGGGGUAUUAAGGUUGUUAGUAUAUAUUUUUAAGUGUAUUUAUUUAUUUUGGGAGAGAGAGAGAGACAGAGGCAGAGAGAGAGGGAGGGAGAGAGAAUCCCAAGACGCGGGGCCAGAACCCACAAACUGCAUGAUCAUGACCUGAGCCAAAAUCAAGAGCCUGAUACUUAACUGACUGAGCCACCCAGGUGCCCCAACGUUGCUAAUCUUCUGAUUUGAGAUGGGGUCAUUAUUCUGGAUUAUGGGGACGGGCUGUUAUUCUUUCCCCAACCCCCUCCCCCCCCCCCAGGGGAGUCUGACUUAUGGGCAGGGUAUCUGGUGGGAUGGACCCGCUGGAGACACAGGCAGGAGAGGCCAUCUCUGCUCAUGUCACACCAGUUCGUUAGUGACCCCCUGUCAGGCACCUGCUAGGUGGCUGACACUGGGCUCAGCCCCCAAAUUAGAGCUCAGACUGGAUGAGGCCCCUGGUCACCCCCGGACGGUGAUGCAGUGCGGCAGGCACGGUGCUCCAGGACUGCCCUUGAACUCAGAGUGGCAUGGGGGCCCUUUCUCACACCUGCGGACAGUGGUCAUUCCCCAGGACCGAUGCCAGCCAGUCUAAAAAGAGGCCAAACCACAUCACGUACGGGUGGCAUGCGUGGUCUUUUUAGCAGUCUGCAACAGAGCUCACCGGAUCUGGGGAGAAGGGUGGGAGUGAGCCAGGAAAACAGAGAACACUAAGGUCAGACCAGGGCUGGGGGUGCUCAGGGCAGGGGGCUCAGGGCCGCCUGGAGUGAGGGAGCAGGUAAGGUGUGGCAGCCGGGCUCCUCCUGAGCCAAACCUGGGGCCGCUGGGCCGGCGGGACCUCUUUAUAGCCACGUUCAAUUAGGGUGUUCAAUUAGGGUGCCCCAUUGUGACAGCCUUCCUCAGGGAAGAUGUCCCGCCCCCAGAGGACCAUUUGCUCCCGGUGGGAGCUGUUCUCUCCUACCAAGCUUCACAGGCUGACCACGUGCCCAUGCCCCAUACAGCCCAGGGGUGAGCACCUGACCCAAGGAAGGCAGGGAUGCUGCCUCUGGGUACCCCUGGCCCUGCUCAGGGAAAGCCACUGGGGCCUGUGAGGUCUGGGCACGUUGGGAAGCUGGUCUAACGGAUGACCCUGCCACCUGUGAGCAGCAGGAAGGAUGAGGGGCCCGCAGCCAGAGCCCAGGGCACAGAUGGCUUGGAGCUCACUUGGGGACUAGAUGGGUCAGCGCCUUGGUGGCUCCCCUUCUCCCCAGCAGGCGAGAACCAGCAUCUGUCACUUGCCCCCCAGAUCGUGGCUCGUUCCCCGAGGAUGUGCCCCGUGGGCUCACCUACCUCCCUGCAUUUGGGGAGCAAGGGUACCCCCCCUCAGUUUCCUAGCCAAAUUCCCUUUCACAAAGCCUGUCCUCACUCUGCUGACAUGGUUGGGGGAAGGAAUCGAAGGAAUUAAUGAUUGCAGAAGGACAGAAGGAUGGUCUAGGUUGCUGCCCACCUGUCUCCCGGGGAGGCCCCGAAGCUCACGUCUUUUCCUCCAUGUUGUGCUCCGGGGAUGGGGUCUGAGCUCAGGCAAUUCAUGAGAAGCCUCCUCCUUCCAUCCAGGUCGGAGGAGAGGUGGUGGGCGGACCCGAGGAACAUUCCCCCCAGGGCUUUGAUGGGUAGGGCAUGAGGGCAUGUCUCCUGCCCCAGCCAGGAGCCCUCUCCAGCGACCACCUGUGUCGGUGUUUUCAGAGGAGGCUGGUCCUCUGAGCUCGUCUGUCUCUUCUCUCCACAGGCUGCAGGUAGGACGGGACUCCUCAGGACCCAGGUCACCUAGACUGUGUGGAGCAGGGGCUAUAAUACAACCUCAGUUACUCAAGACACACAUCAGGACACUUGAUAAGUAAUUGCUCAUUUAACCCUCAGAGGAGGGUGCCGUGAGCCCCACGUUGCGGCUGAGCAAAUGGGCCCAGACUUUGUCUUCUCCCUGGUGUUGCACUUGCCCGAUUCUCAGCAAAGGUUUGCUGAAGCAUGAGACAGUGACAAGGAAAGGCCCCUGGUGUCUCGGUGCAGCCUUCGACCACUCUGGGCCAGAAGAGCAUCACCCCCGGCGGCUCAUCACCAGACGGCGCUGGGCUCCACCCUGAGUUUCUGUUCCAGAUCCGUGGAGCCUGAGAAGAUGCAUUUCUACCAAGCUCCCACGGGAUACUCUCGCUGCAGGUCAGGGCCACGCUCUGUCUUGUUAAUAACAUGUGUCACUUUCACCCGAGACAGGCCAACGGCCCUCCCCUGACCGAGCACACAGCACCACGUGUUUCCCCGGAACAGGGCCCUGCAGUUGUUGACAGACUGACGGGUCAUGUGGCACCGGGUGGGUGAGAGAGGACAGCGACGGGAGGAGGUGAACCGGUCCAACCUCCAAUGCCCACGUGAGGGCCUGGGCCCGAGGGCAGUGGGCCAGAGCCGCCUCCAGCCUGGGAGUCCUGCCGGGUGCCAGGCUGCUGGAGGAAGUAGAGGUUUUCCAAGCACGUCAUGGGGUUUCUCCUGACCCUCCCUCCCGAAAGUUCUUGGGGCCAGCAUUCUCAGCCCUGGCAGCUUUAGAAACUCCCGAUGGCUGGCCGCUGUCUGCACCUGCGCCGAGCACAUCAGCAGUCCUGCCUGGCACAGGGCCAGUUCUCUAAGGCUGAGAGUCACUGCAGGGGUGGGGGUGGAGGCCCUGGGCUGCAUCCCUGCUCCGUGGCCCACUGGCUCCACCCCCUCCCCAGGCUGACUCUGGGGUGUGUCCAACAAUGCAGGUCUACGCUUGUCUCACAGCUCUUGUGGGGCGCCUCCCCGCCACCAGCCCCGCCACUCCUCGAGGUCAACUGAACGUGAGGGCGGGGGUCUUGCGGGGCAUGGAGGAGAGUUAGAGAACAGGUUCUGUAGAAGCUAGGGCCAAGGGACCUCUGUUCCGGGUUCCUGAGGAGGCCCACUUUGUUGAUGUGGGGUCCUGGGUCAGAAUAGAAGACCAUGAGGAAUCCUGCCAGGGAGAGGCUGGCCGUGGACCAUCUGUUACUCAGACUCGGGUAAGGUCUGGAAGCACCCCCGCCCCCCCUCCACCCAGGUCAGGGGGCAGGAAUGCACCAUGCUGGUGUAGUGUGGCUCUGGGACCAGCUCUGCUGCUUGGUGACUCCAGCAUCACUUGUGGGUCUCAGUGCUCUCAUAGGUGGAGAAGGGAUAGCAGGAGGCUGGUUGGGGGUGGGGGGCGCGGGGGGCAGCAAUGUGCACUCAGAGCACAGCAAGCCCCUAGUGCAGGUGUGCUCAGCGGCGGCCGGGUCUUGCCCUUCGCGUAGAUGUCAGCGGCGCUCCCCACAGGAAACAUUUUCUGAGCACUUCCGGUGGGUGUGUAUUUAUAUAUCGCAUUCGUGGUUUACUAUGCUAAUGUAUUAUGUACGUUAUAAACCAUCCAACAAAAAUAGAAACUUUACAGGACCGGGCUAAAAAUAGAAAUACAAGUCACCAUAUUUUCUUCCUGCUGCCCGGGGGCUCUCCUGCGUCCUGCUGGAGGGCCCACUGAGAGGGGCAGUGUUGUCCGGCACGGGGAGGGGGCAGGAGCUUGGGGCCAGGGGGACUCUGGUGGGGGAGGUGGGUCGAGCCCCGGGGAGGCUCCGGGCCCGAGGCAGGGGUCGAUGCUACAUCUCUGAGCCGCUGGGAAGGCGGAAUCUACGCGCGGGGCCCGGGUCACCGAAGAGCCCAGCGGGAUCCUCGAGGCCAGGUCCGGGCCUGGGGGUCCUGGGGCCCGGGGAGCCGGGGCACGGGAAUCCAGGGCAGAAGGAGCGCGGGCGCGAAGCUCGGGAGUGAAGGGCCUCGGGCCCCACAGAGUCGCCGGAGCCCGGUUCCGGCAGCAGCCGCGACAGGUCCUCCACUAGGUGCCACUUUUCCUGGACUUGCUGCGGGGGUUGGGGGAGAGCGAGCGGCCGGUUACGAGCGGCGCCUUCACCCCGGAGCCGGCGGGGACGAGCAACCGGCCCCGCAGCGCACCUAUGAAAUCCGCGGUGCCGGGCCCCCUGCCCCGCCCCUGCCCCGCCCAAGCCUCGCCCCACCCAGAGGCCACGCCCCACGCCUCCGUGAAGCCAGAGACCACGCCCCCAGUAGUACCGCCUCCAGAAAGAAGCCACGCCCCCACCAGGGCCCCGCCCCUCCCUCAACCCAGAGCCACAUUCUAUCAACCCCGCGUUCCCAAGCCUAAGGCCAUAGGCCUGUCACCUGGCUCCCGGCCUGAGGCCACGCUCCGGGGCGAGGUGUGACCCCUCCCCAGCCCAGCGGACACUCACCCACACCAGUUGCUUCCGGAUCCGCUGGAUGGCCCUCGCAUUGGCCUGGGACUGGGAGACGCAGACGGUCAGGACAAGGCUUUGGACAGACAGGAAUCCAAGGUCAGCUAUCCCUGGAGGGCAGGUGCCUCCCCUACUUCCUCUCUCCCCACCCCAGUGUCUUAACGCCUCCCGGGGUUUUUGUGUCUGCAGACACCUUUCUCUCUCCUGUCCUUCCUCCCCCUGGCAGCCUCUCUCCUCUAAAGGGCCGUAAGAAUACCUCAACUGCAGGCUUUUAGUGUGCCUGCAGGAGGGAUCGUGUGUCCCCGUGGGUCACACAAGGUACCUGCUCGAGGGGGCUGCCCAGGGCUACCUGCCUUUGGGCCCAAGCUCUGUCCUCUGGGACCCUGCCCCCCUCCCUCUCCUUGUCUUGCUCCCAGAUCCCAUGAGUGUCUGGGGGUGCUCAUCGAAGGACGGACGCCCUCCCAGGUGUGCCCCCUCUUGGCCCCUGCUGCCCUGAGAGGCACCUGAGCAGGAUGAGGGCGGGGAAGCUGAAGGCGUGGGAGCCCAGGUAGCGGAGGGUGCGCUGGCCGGAGGGCGGGAGCCGGAGGGCCAUCAGCUCUGGCACCACCUGCCAGGGGGCCGCGUAGUUGGCGAAGAGGCCGCAGUCCCAGGAGGAGUGGAUGCUGGGGAGAGACAGCCAGGGUGGGGCUGGCGUCAGGGCCCCGGGCGAGGAGGGGCUGCCUGCCCCCCAGCCUCGGGCACCUCUGCUGCCCUCACCUGCUGACCACAUAGCCCAGAGGCACGACGGCCAGGAGCAGGCCCAGGAUGAGCACCAGCUGGAAGAAGAAGGUGGAGCUGGAGGCGCGGAAUCUUCGGGGAGAGGCCUUGGAGUUCCUCAUCAGGGUGUACUGGGGGAGGCGGCAGCAGCCCCCGAGCCCUCACCUUCUUGAUGUAGAAGGUGAGGAAGAUGAAGACACUGUUGAGCAGAGGCAGCAGGGGACAGUAGAAGAGGCCCAUCCAGGUGAUCGUCUGGCCGGCCACAAUGUCCAGCACAUUCUUGGG
Felis catus (domestic cat) is the source of this 6606-nucleotide long non-coding RNA. RefSeq lists it as uncharacterized. The record is from RefSeq and is a predicted model, not a curated record. NCBI's taxonomy places the organism in Eukaryota, Metazoa, Chordata, Mammalia, Carnivora, Felidae. The transcript is spliced from 3 exons.